This 71-nucleotide transfer RNA is filed under the name Loxodonta africana (African savanna elephant). It matches the Rfam family "tRNA". Rfam says of the family: Transfer RNA (tRNA) molecules are approximately 80 nucleotides in length. Their secondary structure includes four short double-helical elements and three loops (D, anti-codon, and T loops). Further hydrogen bonds mediate the characteristic L-shaped molecular structure. tRNAs have two regions of fundamental functional importance: the anti-codon, which is responsible for specific mRNA codon recognition, and the 3' end, to which the tRNAs corresponding amino acid is attached (by aminoacyl-tRNA synthetases). tRNAs cope with the degeneracy of the genetic code in two manners: having more than one tRNA (with a specific anti-codon) for a particular amino acid; and 'wobble' base-pairing, i.e. permitting non-standard base-pairing at the 3rd anti-codon position. The record is from Rfam by way of RNAcentral. Lineage: Eukaryota; Metazoa; Chordata; Mammalia; Proboscidea; Elephantidae.
GCAUUGGUGGUUCAGUGGUAGAAUUCUCACCUUCCAUGCAGGAGACCUGGGUUUAAUUCCCAGCCAAUGCA